This is a small nuclear RNA of Hyla sarda, 183 nucleotides long. RefSeq annotates it as U2 spliceosomal RNA. The transcript has a single exon. NCBI's taxonomy places the organism in Eukaryota, Metazoa, Chordata, Amphibia, Anura, Hylidae. The record is from RefSeq and is a predicted model, not a curated record.
AUCGCUUCUCGGCUUUUGGCUAAGAUCAAGUGUAGUAUCUGUUCUUACCAGGUAGUCCAUUGGUAGCAAUGGAUGGUUACAUGGAGGAGCAGGUGUACCGGGGUGUUUCGGGGCUGGUGCCACAUAACCAGCUCAAUGGCUGUCCUGAUGUGACCUCUUUCCUCCGGGUCUCGCCAUGAGGCU